Molecule: ribosomal RNA, 479 nt
Filed under: uncultured bacterium
Lineage: Bacteria
Description: bacterial SSU rRNA
Rfam family: Bacterial small subunit ribosomal RNA
Source: RNAcentral
ACGGAGAUUUCAGCAAUGGAAUCUUAGUGGCGAACGGGUGAGUAACGCGUAGACAACCUGCCUUUGAGAUGGGGACAACACCGCGAAAGUGGUGCUAAUACCGAAUGUUGUAUCGGUGAUGCAUAUUGCUGAUACUAAAGAUGGCCUCUAUUUAUAAGCUAUCGCUCGAAGAUGGGUCUGCGUCUGAUUAGCUAGUUGGUGGGGUAAUGGCUCACCAAGGCGACGAUCAGUAGCCGGUCUGAGAGGAUGAACGGCCACACUGGGACUGAGACACGGCCCAGACUCCUACGGGAGGCAGCAGUGGGGAAUCUUCCGCAAUGGACGAAAGUCUGACGGAGCAACGCCGCGUGAGUGAAGAAGGUUUUCGGAUCGUAAAACUCUGUUUUCAGGGACGAAUGUGCAGUGUGUAAAUAAUGCAUUGUAAUGACGGUACCUGAGUAGAAAGCCACGGCUAACUACGUGCCAGCAGCCGCGGUAAU